RNAcentral lists this long non-coding RNA (365 nucleotides) under Lathyrus oleraceus (garden pea). RNAcentral's name for it is "Pisum sativum (pea) long non-coding RNA (PSAT_LNC009642)". The record is from RNAcentral. Lineage: Eukaryota; Viridiplantae; Streptophyta; Magnoliopsida; Fabales; Fabaceae.
UCUUUUUUGCUUAUAAAUCCGGCCGGAGUAGUACUUCAUUGCAGUGUAUUUUGAUAUGCAGGUAUGGGGCAAUUGUGAUGGAUGAUCAAAACACUGAUGGAAGCUUAGGCUACACUGUAUUACACAACUUUUCUUGUCAGCAUGCUGCUCCCACCUUUAUCAAUUUGAUGAAUUCUGCAAUUCUUGGGCUUGCUACUCAUGACAUGAAAGUAUUACACAACUUUUCUUGUCAGCAUGCUGCUCCCACCUUUAUCAAUUUGAUGAAUUCUGCAAUUCUUGGGCUUGCUACUCAUGACAUGAAUGCCACAAUUCAGACACGCAACCACCCUCUACCAAUGACACAAAGCCAACACUUACAACGUCAU